GAUGAAGAACGUAGCGAAAUGCGAUAAGUAGUGUGAAUUGCAGAAUUCAGUGAAUCAUCGAAUCUUUGAACGCACAUUGCGCCCCUUGGUAUCCCGAGGGGCAUGCCUGUUCGAGCGUCAUUACAACCCUCAAGCUCUGCUUGGUCUUGGGCGUCACCGGUCCCCGGUGUGCCUUAAAAUCAGUGGCGGCGCCAUCUGGCUCUAAGCGUAGUACAUACUCUCGCUACAGACGUCCGGUGGAUGCUGGCCAGCAACCCCCAAUUUAUCAAGGUUGACCUCGGAUCAGGUAGGGAUACCCGCUGAACUUAAGCAUAUCAAUAAGCGGAGGA
RNAcentral lists this unclassified non-coding RNA (329 nucleotides) under soil metagenome. RNAcentral describes it as "partial contains 5.8S ribosomal RNA, internal transcribed spacer 2, and large subunit ribosomal RNA". The stretch from base 1 to 120 matches the Rfam family "5.8S ribosomal RNA", at positions 35 to 154 of the family's 154-position model. The record is from RNAcentral.